Molecule: ribosomal RNA, 567 nt
Filed under: Urophycis tenuis (white hake)
Lineage: Eukaryota; Metazoa; Chordata; Actinopteri; Gadiformes; Phycidae
Description: partial 16S ribosomal RNA
Rfam family: Bacterial large subunit ribosomal RNA
Source: RNAcentral
CUCUUGCCCUCCCCCUAUAAGAGGUCCCGCCUGCCCUGUGACUAUAUGUUUAACGGCCGCGGUAUUUUAACCGUGCGAAGGUAGCGUAAUCACUUGUCUUUUAAAUGAAGACCUGUAUGAAUGGCAUCACGAGGGCUUAACUGUCUCCCCCCUCCAGUCAAUGAAAUUGACCUCCCCGUGCAGAGGCGGGGAUUAAAACAUAAGACGAGAAGACCCUGUGGAGCUUAAGACCUAAUAUAAUUUAUGUUUAGUAUACUAGAAAUAUCAGCUUAAACUUAAUAAUAAUUAUUGAAGUGUCUUUGGUUGGGGCGACCGCGGGGUACAACAAAACCCCCACGUGGACCGGGAGAACUACUCCUAGCACCCAGAGCCGCUACUCCAAGUAACAGAAAUUCUGACUUUCAUGAUCCGGUAUAACCGAUCAACGGACCGAGUUACCCCAGGGAUAACAGCGCAAUCCUCUCUCAGAGCCCAUAUCGACGAGGGGGUUUACGACCUCGAUGUUGGAUCAGGACAUCCUAAUGGUGCAGCCGCUAUUAAGGGUUCGUUUGUUCAACGAUUAAAUCC